Molecule: ribosomal RNA, 263 nt
Filed under: Limosilactobacillus fermentum
Lineage: Bacteria; Bacillati; Bacillota; Bacilli; Lactobacillales; Lactobacillaceae
Also listed under: 1 other name
Description: Lactobacillus fermentum partial 16S ribosomal RNA
Rfam family: Bacterial small subunit ribosomal RNA
Source: RNAcentral
AGCAGUAGGGAAUCUUCCACAAUGGACGAAAGUCUGAUGGAGCAACGCCGCGUGAGUGAAGAAGGUUUUCGGCUCGUAAAGCUCUGUUGUUGGUGAAGAAGGAUAGAGGGAGUAACUGUCCUGGAAUUGACGGUAAUCAACCAGAAAGCCACGGCUAACUACGUGCCAGCAGCCGCGGUAAUACGUAGGUGGCAAGCGUUGUCCGGAUUUAUUGGGCGUAAAGCGAGCGCAGGCGGAAGAAUAAGUCUGAUGUGAAAGCCCUC